Molecule: non-coding RNA, 489 nt
Organism: Cinara cedri
Lineage: Eukaryota; Metazoa; Arthropoda; Insecta; Hemiptera; Aphididae
Source: the annotation of a GenBank genome assembly
GUAGCAUUAUGGAUCUAGUUGGCACAUUGGGAAGGUAAUUUUUCUUGCAAUUUUCAUUUUAAUUGGGAAAAACGAACACAUUUACGACAGUUAGUUUCAUUAUUUUCGAUUUUUUUAUACCAAGAUGUUCACAGGAUAUUUAAAAACAUUUCGAUGAUUUUUCAGCUAUUAAUGAUAAUUUGACAUUUUUGAUUUUUUUUUUUUUUUUAGUUUUUAUUAUUGAUUUUAUGGGGAUGAAAUUAUUUUGGCCCAACAGAAAUCUGGUAAAUUUAAUACGAGAUUCAUUAUAAGUUAUAUUUAGUGGUUUAAAAAAAAACGUUAAGAGUAAUCUAGUAGUUUUUUUAAUAAGCGUUUUAAGUUCAAUUUUUUUUUAAGAAAAUCAUAAUAAUUACGGGAUUUCAAACUACGUAAAACCGAACUUUGUGCAGAAUCGUAUUUCAUUAGAAAUUAAUUGUUGUUACGUUAAUAUAUAAAACAAAUAUCUCUAAG